This is an RNA transcript of Oreochromis niloticus (Nile tilapia), 3516 nucleotides long. It is a transcript of the gene named ATG16 autophagy related 16-like 2 (S. cerevisiae), with no coding region annotated. Lineage: Eukaryota; Metazoa; Chordata; Actinopteri; Cichliformes; Cichlidae. The transcript is spliced from 18 exons. The record is from RefSeq and is a predicted model, not a curated record.
GAGAGCCACAGCGACGGGCCCGCGCCUCCGCCCCGCCCCAGCAGAGUGAGAAAAGCCCCAAAAGUUAACGACAACAACAAAACAAACCACAGAAGAAGAAACGUAAACAACAGCAGGAGUAACCAACAUGACGGCGGUGAGAGGAGCCGGGGUUUCAGAGCGGGGCUGCCUGGAACUUCAGGCCGCUGUGUGAGCCUCUGCCCGCGGCAUGAAGCUCUCCGGGCUGCCGGCAUCAUGGCCGCUGUGACAGCCAACGCCCGCGGAGUCGUGACGGAUCCUGCCGGAGUGUCCCCGCGGGACAGCCGGCCUCCGGCGCCGGGAGCCGGCGGGAGGUCCGCGGAGUCAUGGAAGGGACACAUCAUCCGAGAGCUGAAGCACCGAGACCUGAGCCAGCACGCCAUGUUCCAGGAUCUGAUCCGCUUCUACACUCAGCUGCUGGAGAAAACCAGUCUGACCAAAGGACUGCUGAGCAGCUCCGCCAGGCGUCCCCCUGCAGGCAGCGCCCCGCUCUCGUCCCUGCUGCAGCAGAGCAUCCAGCUGAAGAAGACGACGGGAGAGUUGGCCUAUCAGGUGGUGGAGCUGCAGCAGCAGAUUAAAAUCAAAGACAGCGUUCUGGAGGAGCAGCAUGCCAGGCUGCUGCAGGAGCGCCGUUGCCUGUCGCGAGUGUCUGAUGCUCAUCAGGAGCUGCGGGCACAGGUGGAGCAGGUUCAAGGGCAGAACACGGCGCUGAAGGUGGAGUACGACGCCCUCCUGGAGCGGCAGAGAGCAGCAGAGGCGAAACUACGGCAGGAGACGGUCAGAGGGGAAGAACUGCUGGCCAAGGUGAUGAAGCGGAAAAACCAGGCCGCAGCUCGCAUGAACAGCCACAACGAACGCCGCUCCAGAGCUCGAGAGGCAACCCUGCAGGCCGCAGCCAGGUCGAAGGUCAACUUAGACAGGUCAGCUGUCCAUCCCCUGAGCUCUACAUCGCCCUCUUCAGGUUUCUCUAACUCAUCAAGUGCUCCGAGCUCCAGAUCGACGUCUCCAAAGAAUGAGAAACGUGACGCAUCCAUGGAACGAAAACCUAUGCGACUCGUGAGGUCGGCGUCGGUGACGUCUCCGAGGAUCCUGACCUCCAUUAAAGAGCUGUUCGACAGAAAGAGGCGGGGCCACUCGGUCUGCAGUCAGGAGGAAGAUCUCGUCUCUCCUGUAAGAAUCUGUGUGUCAGCCCGAGUCCCGGCCAGAGCUCUGCAAGUCCUGGAUGCCCAUGAGCAAGACAUCAACGCCGUGCGGUUCAGCUCCAGCUCGGACCUUCUGGCCACGGGGGGGACGGACAAAGUGAUCAAACUGUGGGAGGUCAGAGCAGGUUUGCUGACUCACAGAGGGACCCUGGACGGCAGCACGGAGGGCAUCACCUGCAUCGAGUUCGACCCCAUGGGCUUCAGGAUCCUCGCCGCGUCCUACAGCAAGGCGGCCAUGCUGUGGCAGCUGGGCGACUCCGUUCCAAAGGUGACUCUUACAGGUCACAGCAGGAAGGUGACGGCGGCAAGGUUCAGCAGCAUCCUCCAUCAGGUGGUGACAGGAAGUGCCGAUGGCUCCAUCAGACUAUGGGACCUGCGGCGAGCUGCCUGUCUGCAGUCGCGUAACGUGGCGAAGUACUGCAGUGACCUGGUGUGCUCUGAGAACUGCAUCAUCAGCGGACACUACGACGGGCAGAUCAGAGUGUGGGACUCCAGGGCGGCGAGCUGCGUUCAGGUGCUUCCUGCUCAGGGAAAAGUCACCUCGUUGGACCUCAGCUCUGACCAUCGCCAGCUGCUCAGCUGUUGCCGUGAUGACUGUCUCCAGCUGUUCGACCUGAGGAGGUGGAGCAAUGAGCGCGUAACCUUCAGAGCCGACGGGUUCAAAUGUGGCAGCGACAGCACCAAAGCCGUCAUCAGUCCAGACUGCUGCUAUUUGGCGGCCGGCUCUGCAGAUGGUGCCGUUUACAUUUGGAACGUCUCGACGGGCAAGUUGGAGACCCGCCUACCCGACAAACACAGGUAACACCGAAGACCUGAGUCAGGUGAUAAGCACAGUCACUGCCAGUGCAGGGUCCUAAAGAUCAGAGGCUCCAGCUCAGCUCCCUGUGGGACUCCAAAUGCUCUCGUCCAUCAGCGCCGUGUCUUGGUCUCUGUCUGGCGAAUACUUCGUCAGCGUGGACAAGAGCAAGCGAGCCGUCCUCUGGAGUGACAUGUGAGGCAAACCCACAACGAGGUCACGUUGUCGUGGAGACGCGUCACACAUCCAGCCUUGAUUGGACAGAUGGCUGUUUGACAAAAGUCUUUUUUAAGCUGUUUGUUGGUUGGACCAAAGGGAAGUGACCUUACGUUGUUGUGAUCUAUGAUAACCCUGAAGAAUAUUAACGAGGGAGGAGAACACGGACCUUCUACCAGCUUUAAGCUUUUUCUGUGUAAAACCUGUGUGAACAAAGGGAAACGUUCCUGCAACGCUUGAACCAUUUUACAGUGGACGACGCCAAAAUGAAGCGAGGCCGAACGGCUCGUCGGUCACGUGUGCACAUGUCAGCCUGCGGCGUGCGCUGUGGUCACGGACUGAAACCAAGCUAACUUUUUUUUUUUUUUUUACCUGGAAUGAGUAGAACGUUUUUGUUUUUGUAAUUACAGACAGAUUACUAACUCACACGCUUCUAACGGUCCCGUUUUAGAUUGUAAAGUUUUUCCCGCCUUGUCUCAGCUUGUUUUGGGUGCUGAGAAAGUCUUAAAUUGACAUAUAUUAAUAAAAGAUCUGAAACUGUUUUAAACUGAUGUUUUCAGUCACCUCAGAUUCAUGUCCUCGCUUUUGCAUUCAGAGUGGGGCCGCAGCUCGACACUGAAGCUCCACCCACCUGCUGGCAGCCAAUCAGAAAAAAGUUGUCUUUGAAGGGGGAGGGGCUAAAACUGCAUUUCAGAGGACUGCACUGAGGCAAACUUCUCCGUUUUCCUUUAAAUUGUUAUUAAAAUUGUGCGUUUUGUGGAUCACUGUAGAAACUGUAGAAAACAAGCUGUUUCCACUAAGGUGUUUGUAAAGGGUGGUGCUAACAUUCAGGGAUUCAGGGAGCGUUCAGAUCUAUGAGCACCACCCUCAGACUGCCUUAACCUUUGAACCCCUGAGAAGAAGCUUUCAACGGUCACCGCUUCAUUCAGGCCCGCGAAUGUUUGCUCCUCUGUGGGAGCUCCUGAGUCCUGAAUUUAAACCAGCCGUUCUGGGAUCGGUGGGAGUGUUUCCAGUCUUUCUGCUCUCAGCCGUGGAUUCACUGAGUGAUUAUUUUGUACUGUAAGUGAUGCGAAGCUGCUCUGGAGGAUUUGGAAAUGAGCAGAACGUGUCCACCUGUGUUGUCCUGCGUUUGUGUAUCUGCAGCGAGAGGCUGCCGCUCAGGUAACAGUAGCACUCAGGUGUGUCUUUGUCUCAGAUGUCGUUCUCCUAACGUUCUGUCAAUGUUUUUAAUAUGUUGGUAACGUUUCUGCUCUCAGCUCUAAUAAACGCUGGUCUCUAACCAUC